RNAcentral lists this ribosomal RNA (460 nucleotides) under uncultured bacterium. Its description in RNAcentral is "partial 16S ribosomal RNA". It matches the Rfam family "Bacterial small subunit ribosomal RNA", at positions 338 to 795 of the family's 1533-position model. The record is from RNAcentral.
CCUACGGGAGGCAGCAGUGAGGAAUAUUGGUCAAUGGGCGGGAGCCUGAACCAGCCAAGUCGCGUGAGGGAAGACGGUCCUAUGGAUUGUAAACCUCUUUAGGCGGGGAGCAAUGCCGGGCACGCGUGCCCGGAGGGAGAGUACCCGCAGAAUAAGCAUCGGCUAACUCCGUGCCAGCAGCCGCGGUAAUACGGAGGAUGCGAGCGUUAUCCGGAUUGAUUGGGUUAAAAGGGUGCGUAGGCGGAUUUUUAAGUCAGCGGUAAAAUGUCCGGGCUCAACCCGGGCCGGCCGUUGAAACUGGGGAUCUUGAGUGGGCGAGAAGUAUGCGGAAUGCGUGGUGUAGCGGUGAAAUGCAUAGAUAUCACGCAGAACUCCGAUUGCGAAGGCAGCAUACCGGCGCCCGACUGACGCUGAGGCACGAAAGCGUGGGGAUCGAACAGGAUUAGAUACCCCAGUAGUC